CACAUCCCCAGGUCGGAGAACGCCCGUGCCGACGCACUCUCCAGAUUGGCAACGUCGGCCUACGACUCUUUGGGUCGGACGUUCGUCGAAAACCUCCAGCAGCCGAGCAUCGAUCGGGUCGAAGAAGUGCAGCAGCUAACGUCCGAACCAAGUUGGAUGGACCCGAUCGUCCGGUACCUGACCGACGGAAUCAGUCCUGAAGAUCCCACGGAGGCCAAGCGACUCCGAUGGUCGGCCUC
Molecule: long non-coding RNA, 239 nt
Filed under: Elaeis guineensis (African oil palm)
Lineage: Eukaryota; Viridiplantae; Streptophyta; Magnoliopsida; Arecales; Arecaceae
Description: long non-coding RNA (EGUI_LNC077439)
Source: RNAcentral